UGCCAGCAGCCGCGGUAACACGGGGGGCGCAAGCGUUAUUCGGAAUUAUUGGGCGUAAAGGGCGCGUAGGCGGUCUUGUCGGUCGGAUGUGAAAACUCAGGGCUCAACCCUGAGACGCCAUCCGAUACUGCGCUGACUAGAGUCCGGUAGAGGAGUGUGGAAUUCCUAGUGUAGCGGUGAAAUGCGCAGAUAUUAGGAGGAACACCUAUUGCGAAGGCAGCACUCUGGGCCGGUACUGACACUGAGGAGCGAAAGCGUGGGUAGCAAACAGGAUUAGAUA
RNAcentral lists this ribosomal RNA (280 nucleotides) under uncultured bacterium. RNAcentral describes it as "partial 16S ribosomal RNA". It matches the Rfam family "Bacterial small subunit ribosomal RNA", at positions 506 to 784 of the family's 1533-position model. The record is from RNAcentral.